RNAcentral lists this unclassified non-coding RNA (195 nucleotides) under plant metagenome. RNAcentral's name for it is "partial contains small subunit ribosomal RNA and internal transcribed spacer 1". The stretch from base 1 to 46 matches the Rfam family "Eukaryotic small subunit ribosomal RNA", at positions 1786 to 1831 of the family's 1831-position model. The record is from RNAcentral.
AAGUCGUAACAAGGUUUCCGUAGGUGAACCUGCGGAAGGAUCAUUAUCGUAGGGCUUCGGCCCUGUCGAGAUAGAACCCUUGCCAUUUAUGAGUACCCGGUCCCGUUUCCUCGGCCAGGGCCCCGCCUGCCGAUGGACCCCAAAACCAAACCCUUUUAUUACCUGUAUCAGUCUGAAAAAUAAACAAAAUUAAAA